Molecule: ribosomal RNA, 573 nt
Filed under: uncultured bacterium
Lineage: Bacteria
Description: bacterial SSU rRNA
Rfam family: Bacterial small subunit ribosomal RNA
Source: RNAcentral
GACAUGCAAGUCGUACGCGAAAGGGGGCAACCCUGAGUAGAGUGGCGCAAGGGUGAGUAAUAGUUAGGUAACGUACCUUCCUGCUGGGGAUAACCAGGGGAAACCCUGGCUAAUACCGAAUAGUCCUCUCGGACACGCAGUUCGAGAGGUAAAGCCGCAAGGCGCGGGAAGAUCGGCCUAACUCCUAUCAGCUAGUUGGUAGGGUAACGGCCUACCAAGGCUAUGACGGGUAGCCGGUCUGAGAGGAUGGUCGGCCACACUGGCACUGAGACACGGGCCAGACUCCUACGGGAGGCAGCAGUUAGGAAUCUUGCGCAAUGGGCGAAAGCCUGACGCAGCAACGCCGCGUGAGGGAAGAAGGCCUUCGGGUUGUAAACCUCUUUCGGCGGGGAAUACUAAAGACAGUACCCGCAGAAGAAGCCCCGGCUAACUACGUGCCAGCGGCCGCGGUAAAACGUAGGGGGCAAGCGUUACUCGGAAUUACUGGGCGUAAAGGGCGUGUAGGCGGUCUGGGGCGUCCCAUGUGAAAGGCCACGGCUCAACCGUGGAGGAGCGUGGGAUACGCUCAGGCUA